Molecule: long non-coding RNA, 3673 nt
Organism: Homo sapiens (human)
Lineage: Eukaryota; Metazoa; Chordata; Mammalia; Primates; Hominidae
Gene: DPH5-DT
Product: DPH5 divergent transcript
Source: Ensembl
GAAGAAACCCGCCGGCUGCUGGGGCAGGGCGGCGAAAGGUCAGUCGGCCGAGAGGAGUCCGUGGAGCCACCGUUUCAUAGCCUCAGGGAAAGGAUCGGGCGUGCUCACGAGCCCUCUAACCCAUGGCUUAAACACCCGCUUCCUAAGCCUGGGUUCUUAUGCCUUUGUUUGAAAAACAUGGUUCCCUGUGAAAUUUUACAUGUAGAAGAAAGCUUCACACUACGAGAGCUCUCAGGAUAUAAUUAUUUCAGACAGAUACUGGGAACAUAAGAUGGCUUAUCAAUCUAAGAUGGCCUUCCUGUCCUUCGGAUUGAACUGAAACCAUCCCUGAUUCCAGGGAUAGGUAGAUGAUCCAGGUUUGGACAAUCAAAAUAUUGAACCACCCUGGACCUACAAGUGUUUCUGGGAUGGGAACAUGCAAACGUUGGUCCAAAUUGUUGUUCUAGGCAGCCCAGUACAUUUCUCCAAUGCCUGAUGGAAUGAUAGGGUAUGCAUAAAUGUUCAUGUGGGCUCUGGAGUAUACCAGGAACUGAAGUAAGGUACAUGGACGUCUUGAAUAUUGUAACUGAGAUGGGCAAGCCUACACCUUUGCAAAUAAAGGAGGAUUGGGAAAGAUUAAGAAUGAUUGAGUCUCAGAAUUGUUCUUUAAUCCUCAGUAUUUCCAUUAAGAAGAGCUUCUAUCAAGUGCUUCAAAAGUACCCAAUGUGAAGGAGUAAUAAUGACUCCCUGCUGGUGAGCGAAGUGUGGAGGACACAGGUCCCUCAGCCGUCCACUGGAUGCUGCACUGUUUGGCCUGAGCCAACAUGGGCAGAAAUACAGGCGGCAGCAUAAGCAGAUGCCAAGAACCUGUCUUGCUUCUACUGUUUUCAUUGGGUUACUAUAUCUCCUUUGUAGUCCAACCUGCAAAUUACUUUGAGAAGGGGAGAUACACCCCUGGACCAAUCUAGGACUAUAUUUGUUCCCUUGCUAAAGUAGGAAAAAAAAUACAGAACCUUUAAAUAUUGAACUCAAGGGCAACUAAUUUAAAUUCCUUUCCUUUCAUGUUGAAAGUCUUUUGACUGGGUUAUUCUGAAGCCAUAGCAAUUAGGUUACAGUUUACUUCUCUGUUACUUUACCAUCUUUAAAUUUGGCACCUUCAAAAGGUUGUUCUGUGCGUUUAAAAAAAAAAAGGAACUACCGUUGGAUAUUGUAUUGUUGAUGACCAUUAUUUGAUUCUGGAUUCUUUUGUGUGUUUGUGUUUGGGUGUUUUUGGUUGUUGUUUGUUUGUUUUCUAGAGACGGGGGGUCUCACUAUGUUGUCCAGACUAGAUUCGAGCCCCUGAGCUCAAGGGAUUCUCCAGCCCCAGCCUCCCGAGUAGCUGGAACUGCAGGCACCCGCCACCACGCCCAGGGACAGUUACUUGAUUCUUAAUAGUCCAGUCAUAAUGAGACAGGAUACUGCAUAAGCCAAAGACCACACAAAGUAUCAAUGUUAAGUAUCAAGAGGGUGUGGAGGAAGUGGGUUACAACCACUUUGUCUCCCAACUGUUGUAUGUUUUGCCUUUAAAAAUUUUUUUAAGUACGUUAAAUUCUAAUGUACUCAGAUGUGGCUGAAACAAUGACAAAACAUUAGUUUUCUUUAAAUAUGCGUGACUUUUAAGCUUUUUCCCUUUCCCAGUGACUUGCUUCUCCACUAAGCUCUUUUUUUCUUUUUUUUUUUUCCUCAAAUAUUAUUGUUUCAUGUCACUGUGACAAGUUUAGUCUACUGGAAAUUCCUAUGUCCUCUGUAAUUUAGGUUUUAAGCAACAUAUGAUUUAUCUUGUUAUUUUAAAAAAACUAUCUGCCUUCCCUAAGUGGGCAACUCUCUGGCAUCCUUAAUAUUCUUCUAUAGAAAUUGUGAUGAAAGAACAGAUAAGCCUAAGUAAAUCUAGCGUGUGGAGCUCCUUUAAAAUGUGAAGACCUUGCCAACUGGUUAAAAAUAAAACUUGGUUUUGUCCUAAAUAUCCUUGCUGGGCCUAUUAUACAUAAAAAAAGGGGCCACAGCCCAUUUGCAAGGCUUCUGAAUGAACUCCAUUCAUUCUGUACUUGGAAAUGUCUCUUCAGCCACAAAAAGAAACAAUAGUUAUAACCUAAUUUCUUUGGUGCCAAUAUCAGCAGAAGAAGAGCCAAGAGACCAUUAUGAAAACUCUAGUAAGUUCUCUUGGUGAUUAUAUAAUGCUGUAUUCAUUGAUCAUAUUUCUGUAUUUAAAUAAGUACAUUUUUUAAAACAUCAUAAAGUGGAUCAGUAAUGCUGUAAUAUCACAUUUCAUGUAUUAUACAACAUUUUUGAAAUGGAGUACUCCAAAGUAAUUUGCUUCUUAUGGUUACCAAAGUUUAAAGAAUACCCUAACAUGCACUCCAAGAUUUUAAGAGGAAAGGCUUUGUGUUUUUCAUUACUGUAUUUUGAAAUCUGAGAGUGCAAAACUAGUUUUCUUAGGUAAACCCCGUAAUCAGUUUCCACAUUUACCUGUAAAAGUCAGUGGAGGGCAUACAUCUGGAAGUAGUAGUGGCGGUACACAAUGUGUGUUAAUAUGAUUUCCAAGGGGUAUCUAGAGUAAACUUUCUUAAUCACAGAUCUGAUCUGAGCAUGCCACUCCUUUCUUAAAAUCUUUUGUUGAUUUUCCAUUUCCCUAAAAGGAAGGCCCACUGGAGCAUGGGCCUUGCAAAGUCCUCUUUCUGGCUUCUGCCUGCCUGCCUUUUCAGCUUCAUCUCUGCCAUCUUCCCUGAAUGAACUUUUGUCAGUGGCCUCGCUCUUUCUACCUAUGAGAUGUUGUUUCUGCAUGUUCUUGCAUGGAAUUCUCUUCCUCCCAACCCUGUUUCAUUCCUUUAAUCUGUACAACUCUUUCUUAUCCUGAAGUCUUUAUGUUAAGGUUGCCUUUUCAGGAAGACUUUUAAUUGUAUUAGCUAAUUAAUUAAUUAAUAGUCUGAGGUAUUUGGAGCUGAGAUUCUAUGGGGAUUAGUUGCUGGAGGGUAGUUUAGAGCCAGAUUGUGAAGGACUUUCUAAACUGUGCUUUCAAGGUUUUGAACAGGAAAAUGAUGUAGACUUUCUGUUUUUUGUAAGUUUGGAGGAUGGCUUGUGUCUUAAAAGAAUAUGUAACAUAACCAUCUAAUUUGUGAGUAGUGGACUAAGGAAACACCACUCUAACCUUUUUCUCUCUGCGAUAAUCCCAUCUUCAGCCUCUCAAGCACUGUGAAAAAUCACUUUCUCUUGUUGUAUUCUUGGAGCCCCUGCUAAUUCAUUAUUGAAAAAUACCUGCUGCCUGCAUUUGGCCUUAUGUUGUCAUUUACUUGGUACUUCCUAAGCGUGGCUACUCCAAUGAAGCUUUAGUAUAUGUACUGAAAGAAGAUCCUCUCAUACUGCCACAGCCAAGAGAUAAGGUUGUAAAUCUUUAUUGGGAGAAGCCGUCAAGGACAGUUCUGUGAAAUGAAAGGAUCUCUGGAUCACCACAAAGUCUGGCUCAGUGACUAUGGCUUUGCAAACACUAAACAUUCCUGUCUCAAGUCCUGUAGAUGGCUUGAAAUAGUAUACAUAAGCAUGCCUUAUAAACAUCUUCAGUCUUUAUCAACUCUUUGGAGAUUCAGCCAUUCUUUUUUGUACUUUAGGGAAUUAAAUCAUUUUAUAAUGUAUAAAUCUGAGCAUGGCCGAUGGCAGAAGA